GACGAACCGAGCGAACGUUAUUCGGAAUCACUGGGCUUAAAGGGCGCGUAGGCGGGCGAUCAAGUCGAGGGUGAAAGCCCCCAGCUCAACUGGGGAAGUGCCUCCGAUACUGGUCGUCUCGAGGGGGAUAGGGGCGUGCGGAACUUCCGGUGGAGCGGUGAAAUGCGUAGAUAUCGGAAGGAACACCGGUGGCGAAAGCGGCGCGCUGGAUCCCUUCUGACGCUGAGGCGCGAAAGCCAGGGGAGCGAACGGG
Molecule: ribosomal RNA, 253 nt
Filed under: uncultured bacterium
Lineage: Bacteria
Description: partial 16S ribosomal RNA
Rfam family: Bacterial small subunit ribosomal RNA
Source: RNAcentral